AGGAUGAACGCUGGCGGCGUGCCUAAUACAUGCAAGUCGAGCGAACUUUUGGGAGCUUGCUCCCAAAAGUUAGCGGCGGACGGGUGAGUAACACGUGGGCAACCUGCCUAUAAGACUGGGAUAACUUCGGGAAACCGGAGCUAAUACCGGAUAACAUAUGAGACCACAUGGUCUCAUAUUAAAAGAUGGCUUUUAGCUAUCACUUAUAGAUGGGCCCGCGGCGCAUUAGCUAGUUGGUGAGGUAAUGGCUCACCAAGGCGACGAUGCGUAGCCGACCUGAGAGGGUGAUCGGCCACACUGGGACUGAGACACGGCCCAGACUCCUACGGGAGGCAGCAGUAGGGAAUCUUCCGCAAUGGACGAAAGUCUGACGGAGCAACGCCGCGUGAGCGAAGAAGGUCUUCGGAUCGUAAAGCUCUGUUGUUAGGGAAGAACAAGUACCGUUCGAAUAGGGCGGUACCUUGACGGUACCUAACCAGAAAGCCACGGCUAACUACGUGCCAGCAGCCGCGGUAAUACGUAGGUGGCAAGCGUUAUCCGGAAUUAUUGGGCGUAAAGCGCGCGCAGGCGGUCCUUUAAGUCUGAUGUGAAAGCCCACGGCUCAACCGUGGAGGGUCAUUGGAAACUGGGGGACUUGAGUGCAGAAGAGGAGAGCGGAAUUCCACGUGUAGCGGUGAAAUGCGUAGAGAUGUGGAGGAACACCAGUGGCGAAGGCGGCUCUCUGGUCUGUAACUGACGCUGAGGCGCGAAAGCGUGGGGAGCGAACAGGAUUAGAUACCCUGGUAGUCCACGCCGUAAACGAUGAGUGCUAAGUGUUAGAGGG
RNAcentral lists this ribosomal RNA (823 nucleotides) under Bacillus sp. (in: firmicutes). RNAcentral describes it as "bacterial SSU rRNA". It matches the Rfam family "Bacterial small subunit ribosomal RNA", at positions 26 to 830 of the family's 1533-position model. Lineage: Bacteria; Bacillati; Bacillota; Bacilli; Caryophanales; Bacillaceae. The record is from RNAcentral.